GUGCCCGUACGCCCCCUCCCUCGCGCCGCACGGCCCGUCUCCCUCUCUCUCGCUCUCCCACUCGCACCCGCGCCUCUCACAAAUUCCGCUCCCGCACGCGCGACGCCGGAAACCGCUCCGCCAUCAGCGCUCCCCUCCCUAUCAGCCGUCGCGCCGUCCUCUGCCUCACCGAUCUGCCACCGCCGCCGGCUCGCCCUCCACCGAUCCCCAUCGCCUGUCCUCCGCCAGGAUUCACGUCGCCGCUGACGCCUUCCACGCCGUUCUGCUCCACCGAUCCCCGGCGCACGAAGUCCUCCCGUCGCCUGCACGCGUUGACGCCGGAAAGGCGGAAAUCGCUCCGCCAUCAGCUGUCCACCUCUUCAACCAUCUCUCCUCCGUCGCCGACGCAUUGGUGCCUCAGCCCCUCUCCACCCCCUCCCAUUCCAAAACCUAGCCGCUUAUUGCUCAAAAUUAUAAUGGCGCCGUCGUCGAUUCCCCACCACCGGAUGGUUGUCGACCAUUGCGCAUCCUCGCGGUGUCCUCCGGCCGUUGCCGCCGCCCGAAUUCGUGGCCGACGCAGCGUCUCCCCGGUCCCCAGCGCCGCCGCCAAGAUCUCCAUCGGGCUAGCGCCGCCAGUCCACGGACGACCCCCAGUCCAAGCUCCUGCCUCGUCGCUGAUCCCCUGUCUCCAGAACCCCGCAGUCAAAAGCAUCUACGCUGAUCCUCCAUCACUCUGUCUGCAGUUGAAUGCACCGAUCCUCUCCAGAUCACGGCGAAAAGCGCUCGCUGUUUAGAUCACAGCACUCAACGAUAAAAAACAACAUUUAUGCGACAUCGGCAGCAGUGAUCUGCCGUGCGUGACCCCGCCGAUUAGAGACAUCCUGUUCCCAUAUCUGCUGUUUCCCAUCGACACCCAGUGCUCCACUCAGGAGAUCGUCGUGCGUGACUUGCCUAUCGGAGACCUCCUGUGCCCAUAUCCUGCUGUUUCCCAUCGACAUCCUCAGUUCAUCAUUACCUUAAUUGAAGGUUGGUACGUAGGCAUGCCAAAAAUCUACCAUCAUUUGAUUGUACAACCUGUAAAUAAAUAUGCUGGAGAUGGAGUGAUCAGAAUGAAUAACAAUGUCAUCCAUCAGAUCGCCUUUGGCUUUGAACAAGCUCUAUGAGAUGGUCAAAGAUUUUUUAAUCUUCUGCUUACCAUUAAUUGGUUACCUGAUAGGAGCCAAGGUCACAGUAAUAGAGGGAGGCUUAAUGAAUAUUCCCUUGAUUGAAUUUUUCUGACUCCAUAUGUAUAAUAAAAAGUUAGUAUGGCCAUAUUAUUUGGGUAUAACCCUGUUAGGAACCCAAAGGCAUAAAAUUCAGACUAGGGAAAACUGCUCCCCUUUUUUCUAAUAUAGAAAUACUUCCAGCUGGAAGCUGCUGGUCAUUUGUUA
This is a long non-coding RNA of Oryza sativa Japonica Group (Japanese rice), 1409 nucleotides long. RefSeq lists it as uncharacterized. The record is from RefSeq and is a predicted model, not a curated record. NCBI's taxonomy places the organism in Eukaryota, Viridiplantae, Streptophyta, Magnoliopsida, Poales, Poaceae.